Molecule: long non-coding RNA, 1473 nt
Filed under: Oryctolagus cuniculus (rabbit)
Lineage: Eukaryota; Metazoa; Chordata; Mammalia; Lagomorpha; Leporidae
Description: lncRNA (ENSOCUG00000039610.1)
Source: RNAcentral
UCCUCUGGGUCUCCCACACAGGGGUCGGGGGCCAAGGCCUUGGGCCAUCUUCUACUGCCUUCCCAGGCCACAGCAGAGAGCUGGAUCGGAAGUGGAGCAGCCGGGACUCGAACCGGCUCCUAUAAGGCACGGCUCCACAAUGCCAGCCACUUUCUGUUAAGCCCCGACUUGGAGUGGCCGUGGGGGCUCGGUGGGUUAGGCUGCUGCGUGGGCGUCCAGCAUUCCGUUACGGGAACGUGGGUUUGAGUCCCAGCUGCUCCGCCUCCCACCCAGCUCCCUGCUAGUGGGCCUGGGAGAAAGGCAGAUGAUGGCCAAGUCCUUGGGCCCCUGACCCCCGUGUGGGAGACCUGGAUGGUGUUCCCGGCCUUGGCCCAGCCCUUUGUGGCCAUUUGGGGAGCCAGCAGAUGCAAGAUCUCCCUCUCUCGUCUCCGUCUCUGUCACUCUGCCUUUCAGAGAAAGAAAGACAUGUUGAAAGCCCUGCGUCGUGGAGGUGGAAGCGUGCAGUCUGUCUGCUGACGUCACUGGGCAGGUGCCCCAGGCCCGUCCAUAGGGGGGCCGGUGUCUGCGUCUCCCUCCUUUCAUAGCGGAAUAGGGCUAUGUCGCACUGGACGGCUCCGUGACCUCUCCAUUGGCAGAAGGAGGCCCUCGGCUUUCUCCUUACCUCACGGCUGCAGCAGCACCCUUAGGGAAUCUUGGCAAGUGCUCUCGAUCUGCUGGGGGAAAUCUGCCUUCUGAAACCGGUAAAAGAGGAACCCUCACUCGGCUACUCGCCGUCUCUGCCCCAAGUCUGCCGCCGGCCGACAGGUGCACCGGCCCCUGCAACACUGACAGGGGCGGAGUUUCCGGAAGAGCCGGGGUCCUGGUGUCUGACCCCACUGGGUCACUGGAGCUCCUCUCAGCGGCCACCGCACAGCCUGGCAGAGGACGCACUUCCCACAGAAGCCUGGAGGGAGUCUCCCUCGCACUGUCCUGGCUGUUGACAGUCCUCCGGAAGCUGCUAAUCUGGGGGCGGCCCCGGGUCAUUCUAGGAGGGCAAUGAUGAUAACAGGUCUCCUACAGCACCAGGGACACAGUAACACAGAAAGCAAAACGUGCAGCUAAAUGCAACAGCCCUCUCUCUCCCUCCAGUCCUUCACAGGAUGUUUGGUGGCUGAAGAAAAGUUACACCACAUCUGACCUGGCUCUAAAUGUAUCUAGAAAAAUUUAUGGAAACUGUCCAGUAAGUGUGUUGCAGAAAGCAAUGGAGACUGCCGUAGCUUGGCAGUUAGGGUGCUCUUCUCCCAUGAUCGAACAGGGAUGCAGGCACUGCAGGCGGCGGCUUUAACCACUACGCCACAGCGCCGGCCCCUGGGCAGUUGAUUUGUAUAUUUGGGCGGAGCUGGGGAGCCCACAUCUGCUUUGGGACUUUCCCACGCUCUGGGACGACCCCCACAAAAUGGAGCAGGGUAACAGGAUGCAAAGGGAGCCAAGGUU